GAUGAACGCUAGCGGCAGGCUUAACACAUGCAAGUCGAGGGGUAGGUUACUUCGGUAAUUGAGACCGGCGCACGGGUGCGUAACGCGUAUACAAUCUACCUUUUACAGAGGGAUAGCCCAGAGAAAUUUGGAUUAAUACCUCAUAGUAUUUUUGAAUCGCAUGAUUUGAUUAUUAAAGUUCCAACGGUAAAAGAUGAGUAUGCGUCCCAUUAGCUAGAUGGUAAGGUAACGGCUUACCAUGGCUACGAUGGGUAGGGGUUCUGAGAGGGAGAUCCCCCCACACUGGUACUGAGACACGGACCAGACUCCUACGGGAGGCAGCAGUGAGGAAUAUUGGACAAUGGGCGCAAGCCUGAUCCAGCCAUGCCGCGUGCAGGAAGAAGGUCCUAUGGAUUGUAAACUGCUUUUAUACAAGAAGAAACACUCCCUCGUGAGGGAACUUGACGGUACUGUAUGAAUAAGGACCGGCUAACUCCGUGCCAGCAGCCGCGGU
RNAcentral lists this ribosomal RNA (493 nucleotides) under uncultured bacterium. Its description in RNAcentral is "bacterial SSU rRNA". It matches the Rfam family "Bacterial small subunit ribosomal RNA", at positions 28 to 521 of the family's 1533-position model. The record is from RNAcentral.